This 229-nucleotide long non-coding RNA is filed under the name Capsicum annuum. RNAcentral describes it as "long non-coding RNA (CANN_LNC006965)". Lineage: Eukaryota; Viridiplantae; Streptophyta; Magnoliopsida; Solanales; Solanaceae. The record is from RNAcentral.
UCCCAUCAAUUCAUAGUCAUUUAGUUUUAGAGGCUUAUUAGACAUAAGAGUCCAUUAUUUAGUAUUCUGACAUUGCAUUUAGUUAUCCAGUUUAUCAGUAUUUUAUUAGUUUCAAAUAGUUAUUUCUAUAGACUCAUAUAUCAGUUUCGAAUUUAGUUAUUAAAACCUUAUGGCAUAUCAGUAUUCUUCCACAUUUAUGAUCAUAUUUUCCAGUGCUCACAGCUGGUAG